AUUGAACGCUGGCGGCAUGCCUUACACAUGCAAGUCGAACGGUAACGGGCCUUCGGGUGCCGCCGAGUGGCGCACGGGUGAGUAAUACAUCGGAACGUGCCCGAUCGUGGGGGGUAACGAGGCGAAAGCUUUGCUAAUACCGCAUACGAUCUACGGAUGAAAGCAGGGGACCGCAAGGCCUUGCGCGGACGGAGCGGCCGAUGGCAGAUUAGGUAGUUGGUGGGAUAAAAGCUUACCAAGCCGACGAUCGGUAGCUGGUCUGAGAGGAUGAUCAGCCACACUGGGAGUGAGACACGGCCCAGACUCCUACGGGAGGCAGCAGUGGGGAAUGUUGGACAAAGGGCGCAAGACUGAUCCAGCCAUGCCGCGUGCAGGAUGAAGGCCUUCGGGUUGUAAACUGCUUUUGUACGGAACGAAAAGCCUUCUUUUAAUACAGGAGGGUCAUGACGGUACCGUAAGAAUAAGCACCGGCUAACUACGUG
RNAcentral lists this ribosomal RNA (482 nucleotides) under uncultured bacterium. RNAcentral describes it as "partial 16S ribosomal RNA". It matches the Rfam family "Bacterial small subunit ribosomal RNA", at positions 30 to 507 of the family's 1533-position model. The record is from RNAcentral.